RNAcentral lists this long non-coding RNA (34609 nucleotides) under Ananas comosus (pineapple). RNAcentral describes it as "long non-coding RNA (ACOM_LNC007581)". Lineage: Eukaryota; Viridiplantae; Streptophyta; Magnoliopsida; Poales; Bromeliaceae. The record is from RNAcentral.
UGGCCGUUCGGUUUAGGGAUGUCAAUGAGUAUGGAUAUCCGAAAUUUUAUCCAAACCCGAACCCGAAUGAAACGGAUAUAUCCGAUGGGUAUGGAUAUGGAUUUGGAUAUGGAUAUAAAAAAUAAAAACCUGACGGAUAUGGAUUCAGAGAUGGAUUUUGAUUGUACCCGAUCCGAACCCGAACCCGAAUUUAUUUUGUAUUAUAUAUAAUAUAUAUGUAAAAAUUUGAUGUUAUAUUUGAAUUUGUAUUUUAAAAAUUUAAAUUUAAUAUAAUAUAUUUUGAAAUAUUGAAAAAAAAAUAAUUGUUUCAGGUUCAAAUUUUCGGGUUCGGGUUUGGGUUCGGGUUUCGGAUUUUUGGUCGGGUUCGGAUUUGGAUAUGGAUUUUUAAAAUCCGUCGGGUUCGGGUUCGGGUUCGGGUCUCGGGUUUGGAGUCGGGUUUGGGUUCGGGUUUUUAAAAAUCCGCUCCGAAUCCGAUCCGUUGACAUCUCUAGUUCGGUUCAUGCUAUAUAACAGCACUAGUUAUUUCAGCAUAAUUAGAUUUCAGGCUGUUUGGUUCGUGCUAUAUGAUAGUACUAGUUAUUUCAGCAUAAUUAGAUAUUUGAAAUCUGUGAAGCAGAUUAAUACAAAUGUUGAAUAACUAUAUUUGGUUUAGUGCAGUAAUAUAAUGUCGGAUUGUCAUAAAAUUACUCUGUUUCGUUCAUCUUAUAUGUAUUAGUAAUCUUGACUGUAAAGUUUAUAUAAUUCCAAAAAAAAUCCUUACAUACAUAUUUAUUUGAAAUUCAAAUAUAUAAUUUUGAAAUAAAUUUAAAUUCAAAUUUUAAAUUUAAAUUAAAUAUUGGUUCAAAUUUUCAAUUGAAAUCAUGAUUUUAAGUCUAAAUUUUAAAAUAAAAUUUUAUUUUUGAGUUCAAAUUUCAAAGUCAAAUUUAAGAAUUGAACUUAAAUUUUAAAUUUAAGUUCAGAUUUUAAAUUUAAAUUUGAAAAUCAAACUUAGAUUUUUUUAAUUUGAAGUUCAAAUUUAAAUUUUGAUUUUAAAUUCAAACUUCAUAUUCAAAGUCUGAUUUUGGUUUCAAAUUUAAAUAUAAAUUUAGUUUUUGAAUUCAAAUUUUGAUUUCAAAUUCAAAUUUAAAUUUUGAAUAGUCAAAAUUUUAAAGUAAAUUUCAUUCAAGUUUUAAAUUUAGAUUUAGAAUUUAAACUCAGACUUCAGUUUGAGUUCAGAUUUUAAUCCAACUCUUAGUUUCAAAUUUAGAUUUGGAGUUCAAAUUUUUAAUGUGAAUCAGAAUUUUAAUUCAAAUUUAGAAUUUGAACUCAUAUUUCAAGUUAAAUUAAAAUAAAAUUUACAUUCAAAUUCAAAUUCAUAUUUGAAUACAAAAUUCAAAUUUAAAUUUAAAUUUCAAAUUCAAACUUAAGUAAUUCAACUAAUGUGAAAUUUUGAACUUUAUUUCAAAUUUAAAUUUGAGGCAAGUAGCGGUGGAGAAGGAUAACUUUUAAAUUUUGCAUAAGUUGCAGCAUAACAUGUAAUCAGUAAUGCAAGAUACCCAUCUUUUUAUUGUUUUACUAGUAAUAUUUUACGGUACCUUACAAACUAAUAUACAUGACAUUGUUUAAUUGGUGGAAAUGUGCGAACCAUGAAAUGGUUUUUUGAAAGUAUGGUAGAUAAUUUUAAUAUUGAAAUCCAUCAAUUGAGUUGUAUGGUUUGUAAAAUAUUAUAAAUUUGCUUGUAAACAAAGUAUUUUUCAAUUUUUAAAGAUCCCUGUAGGAUUCUCUGUAAUAUAAUAUAAACUUGGCCUUCUUUUGCACCAUGUGUUGUUUUCUUCUUCUUUUUUUUUGAUAAAAAUUUUCUGCGAUAGUGUACGCUCAGAGAUCCAACAGAUUGCUUGUAAUCUAUACAUUACUUCGGAUUUAUUUGUUGAGAAACUAUGAAAACUUAGUAACAACUUUUUUUUCUUUUAAACUAAAUUUUGAAUUGGUAUUUACCAAGAAUAAGAUUUUGUUUUGUUUUUUUUUUUAUUUUUUUAUUUGUUUGUUUGGUUGUUUACUUGUUUUUGGUUGUUGUUGUUGGUGUUUGUGCUGGAACUUGGAGUGGGUCUCCCAAGAUGAAGCAAAAAAGUUUUUAUUUUUGUUUAUUUAUUUAUUUUAUGGUUUCUGAGGACUAUGAAAAAGCCUAUGGCUAUAUGCUAUGGCUAUAUGAAUGCAUUACACUUGGCUUUUGUGAAUGGCCUUAUCUAUGUAAAAGCUCACACAUUGUCCAAGGUGAUCAUCCCAUGUAUAUGCAUUUGAUUGCUUUAAUUUCCCUUUCAUUUUUGCUUUUUGUAAAAGAGUGCUGCUAUAAGAUUACCCUACAAUAUUAUUAAUAAUAUGAUAAUAUAUUAUUAUAUUUAUAAUAAUAAUAUUGUAAAUAAUUCAUCAUUCAUAUAAAUUGAAAAAAAAAAAAAACAACAACAAGAUUAAACGAAGCCUAAGAUUUUAUAUAUUAUAUAUAUCUCAAAAUUGAUAACUUGAAUAGCUGACGUGGUGAUAUAUUUGUAAGUUUACCAAUUUAAAAGAAUGAAUUUAUAUUCAAUAAAAUUUUUAUAGAAAAUUUCGUUCACUAUUUAAUGAAAGAUCAAUAUCUUUGAUCUGAAAUUUAAAUCUUUUAUUAUUAUUUUUUAAAAUUUUUAUUUUUAGCCUUUUAUGUUGAAACUAUUCGGUUUAAGGGUAAAUAAUAUAAACAAAUUAUAAAAAUUGGUUUCAAUAUAGUUUUAGUAGUGUAGCUCAUAUUUAAUUGAGUCAAUCAUCGAUUCGAAUAUCUCAUCAUCGAAAACAACAUAAUAGCAAUGAGGCCUCCGUACUACUGAUAGUAUUCUAGCCUAAUUCAAAUAUAUACAAAGAGAGAGAGAAAGAGAGAGUUGUAGAGAAUGCUUAUAAUAAUACCAACUUAUUAAUGCUUUUUAGUUUUUGGCCCUUGGAUUAAGGGGUCGUUGGAUUACCAUGAUAGUGGUCCAGUUAAGUUUAGAAGUAGUGAAAUAAUAUAAUUUAAGAAAUAUAAAUGACAAAAGAGUAUGUACACAGUAGUUACGGAUUUUUGAUAUCACAACAGCUUCAUGUGUGAGUUGCUACUUUCCAUGAAAUUUGAUUUCUAGAUAUUUUCAAUAUUCUGGAUCAAGCUUAAUGAUGUCGAUCAUCGAUUCGAAAACUUCAUCAUCGAAAAUAAAUUUGUAACAACAGAGCGCAUUUACGACUAAUAGUAUUCAAGCUCAACUCUCUUCUCUCCUUCUCUCUCUCUAUAUAUAUAUAGAAAGAGAGAGAGUAGGGCUACUAUACUCUUAUGAGUAUAGAGCUCUUCGUGUUCAUAAGUUGUUUUCGAUAAUUGAACUUCCGAAUCGACGAUCCACUUCGUUAAAUGUGUUCUAAAGUAUUUGAAACUUUCAGAAAAUAAAUUUCGUAAUUUUUUUUGAAAUCAUAAUAAAAUCCAUUAAGUGGGCAUAAAAUGAACAGUCAAAAUCGAAUAACAUCCUAAAAAUCGAUAAUUGGAUCCUUCAAUUUAAGAUCAGAGUUAUUGAUCUUUAUUUAGAUAGUGAAUAGAAUUUUCGAUAAAAAAUUUAACUAAUUCUGAGUCUUUUACACCGUUAAACUAGCAAGUAUUCCAUACCAACUGUUAAAAAUUAUCAAUUUUGAGAUUUUUUAAUCAAAAGGUAAAUGAUGUCAAAAAUUAUAAAAUUUAAUUUUUUAAAAGUUUUAAAUGCUCUAAAUAACGUUUAACGGUAUGGAUCGUCAAUUUGGAAGUUUUAUUAUUAAAAACAACUUAUGAGUAAGAAGGCGAUCGUACUCAUAAGAGUAUAGUAGCCGGACUCUCUCUCUCUCUCUUUCACUUUCUCUCUUUAUAUAUAUAUAUAUAUAUAUAUANAGGUACUAAAAUAAAAAAGUGUGAAACCACGGGGUUUUUUUGAAGUUUUCCCUAAUAAUAAUAAUGAUUCAGGGGUAAAAAUGUAAUUACACUUCAGUUAGCCGGAAUCGUAUUCCUACGUUCUCCACGCAGAGGUUAACAAGGAAACCUCCCCAACAGGUCACGUAUCAAAGCACAACUUAGCCUCUUAAAAAGGAAGAAACUAUUCACUGCACCGGGUGUAUAAGCACAUCUCAUACGCCACACCUAAUAAAUUUUAUGAGGAAAAUGUGUUUUAUGUAUAAAAAAAUUUAUAAAUUUUAGACACGAAUACUUCCUAAAUUGGAUAAUGUCCCAUUAUAAACUUAGCUUUAUAAAUAUUAUAUGGUAAAUUAUAUAACAUCUAUCAAAUUAAAUUUUAAUUUAAGGUGUAAAUUAUUAAAAUCUAUGUAUUAUGACGCGGUUACAUGUCGCGCAUGUCCGUGUCGGACACAUCUUUGUUCGUGCUAGACUCGUAUUUGACGCAAACCCACCAUGGAUGUGCGUUCAUGGCGCAUUCCUAUGAAAUUUUUUUAUUUCACUUUUUUUAUGCAUAUAUAUAUAUAUAUAUAUAUAUAUAUAUAUAUAUAUAUAUUAGGGCUAUUAUACUCUUAUGAGUAUACACCUUUUUGUACUUAUAAGUUUUUGACAAUUGGAUGAAGAGAUGUGCAGUUAGGAUGAUAGAGGUCCCCGAUUAGAAUGAUAGUGGUCCCCUAGAGUUAAGUGGGUGGUAAGUUGAAUAGUAUGAUCUAAUGGGUGAAAAUGGUCAAAGGGAUAGAUUUAACAGUCGAAAAUUUAUGAGUGCAUAGAGAUCUAUGCUUAUAAGAAUAUAUAGUCAAACUCUCUCUCCCUCUCUCUCUCUAUAUAUAUAUAUAUACAUAUAUUAGGAGUAGGACUAUUGUGCUAUUAGGAGUAUAGUAGUCCUUACGCUCCUACCUUUCUAACCAUCUAUCAAUUUCGAUGGAUGGUUAGGAUGAGAGAGAGAAAAAAAAUUCGGGUGCAGUUGAGUGUCUUAUUUUUUCUCAUCUUUGAAUUUGUAUCCAUUUUUUCUUCUCUCUCUCAUCUUAACCACCAAUCAAAAUUGAUGUAUGAUUAGAAAGUUAAGAGCACAAGAAUUACCCGUGAUCCUAAUAGCACAAUAGCCCUACUCUAUAUAUUAGUUAUGGCAUUGCAUUUAGCUUCAAGCAUGAGUAGCUGCACCACAUUCUCUCUCUCUCUCUCUCUCUCCCUCUCUAUUUUUGUUCAAAUUCCAUGUUCCCUCUUUUUGUUUGUAGCUAAACACAUCCAACUACGCAAAAUUCUUCAGUAGAUCCAAAUGAAGAGUACCUGCCAAAUUAUUUGAUAUAUACUAAAGCAGGACAUAUGGAUUAUCUAAAAAGAUCACUUUUUCCUUUUAUUUUUCUUUCUCUUUGUACAGGAGAUUCUACACUGAAUCUCUGGGAUCAUUCCACAUGGGGAACAACUAUUCAUAUUUAGUGGGUAACCCAACAAUGCCAUUUUGAAUCAUAAAUUAAAAGGGAGAGAGAAAAAAAUUCCAAAAAAAAGAAAAAUCCAACAGUACCAUCCAAUUUCAGAGUUCAACAGCUUUGCUGUGCUGUGGCCUCUGGGGUGAUACAGAACCUUCAUUUAAAAAAAGUGAAGCUACCUGGUGCUCAUUACAUGGUUCCAACUACUUAGAUUUAUCACAUAUAAUUUUUUAUUUAUUUUUUUUUAGAAAAAAAAUAGCGUGUUAUUUACUUUAUCCAAUAAGGUAUUGUUUGGUUUGAGCAUAAGCAAAAAAUGAUUAUUCCAGAGAUAGAUAUAAAUUGAGGUAUAAGCGGGGAUUAGAUCAAUUUUACGUUUGGAUGAAAAUUGGGCUAUUCCUGAGAAUAAAAAAAAUAGCGUUUGGUUAGUUAAGAUGGAAUAAGAAAGAUAGUGGGUUUUAUAAAUAAAAAAUAAUCAUAUUAUCCUCUUAUUAUAUUUGAAUUUAAAUUUUUAAAUUUUUAAAUAUAUAUUUUUAAAUUUAAAAUUUUAACUUUGAAAUUUCAAAUUUUGAAAUUUAAAAUCUCAAAUUUUAAAUUCAAAAUUUUAAUUUAAAUUUCAAACUUUAAAUUUAAGAUCAAAUUUAAAUUUGAAAAUAUAAAAUAUAAAAUUUAAUUUCAAAAUUAAAAUACAAAAUUUAAAUUUAAAAUUAAAUUUAAAAUUAUAAACUUUAUUUUGAGAUUAUAAAUUAUAAAUUUUAAAUUUAAUUUUAAUUUUUAAAUUUUUAAAAUAAGAAUAGGGUGGAACAAUAUAAUACAAUAAACAUUUAUUAUACAAUCAUUUAUAAAUUUUUUUAAAAUUCUACUUAAACUUAAAUUUAAUAAAAAGAAUUUAUUAUAAUAUUUAAAUAUAAUUUAUUAUAAAUUUUAUUUUAAUAUUUAAAUAUUAAUAAUAUGUAUUAAUAUAGUACAAUUAAUAAUUUUAUAAUAAAAAUAAUGUAUUUUAAUAUUUAACAUAUUAUAUUUAUAUAAUUUAGUUUUAAUUCAAUUUAUAAUUUUAAUUAAGUUUGAAAUUAAGCAUUGAAAUAGUGCUAUUCCAUCAAAAUGGUGGAAUAGCAAAUCCCUUGCUAUUCCAGGAUAACCGGGAAUAGCAAGGUUUGACCGGAAUAAAAUAUUCCGGCCAAAUUUCACCCCGUUUGGCGGAAUAGCGGAGAUAACUUUCGUUAUCCCCGCUUAUUUUCCCAAUCAAACGGGGCCUAAGAGUAUAAACUAGGCUACAAUAUUGAGACAACGGGGAUAAGAAAAAAAAUAAAGUAUAAAAAUAAAGGAAAUGUAUAGUACUCACUGUACUCCUACUGUAAGUAAGGUGUACUAUUAUUUGAUAAAAUAUUUUUGAAAUAAUACUAUUUAAGUAAAUGUAAUAUCAAAUCAUCUAUGACAAUAUUUUUCUGCUGGGGUCAAGAAAAACACAAAAUUAAAAGCUUUGUUUUGUUUGAAGUCUCAAAAUGUACGCUUCUGCAGAUAGCGUCGUAUUUUUCUCGUUGUCGAUACUCUUAUUACAUGUUUGGCCCUCAUUGAUAGAACUAUUGGCAAGCAAAAAAAACAUGUAGCUUCCGAUGUGACGAAAAGUUAAAAUGAGAUUGUGAGUCAUAAAAAGAGAAGAUGUAAUUUAGAAGUCAUGAUUCUGCAACAAAGGGAAAAAAGAAAACUAUAAAAAGAGUUUUGAUGCAAUGCAAUCUCUCAAGGGGUGUUGGUUUUCCGUAAAAUAUCUAAGAAAACAGUUUUCUCGUGGGAAAAAGUAUUUUUCUAAAGAACAGUUUUUUUCUAGAAGAUGAAAACGGUAAAAAUUAUUAUUAUUAUUAUUUUUACUGGAAACUUCUUUUUUUUUUUGAAAUAAUUUUUCAGGUAUCUCCUAGAAACCAAACAAACACCCCUUAAUAGUUAAUAUAUAGAGCUUUAACUUACUGAUAAAAUGCUUCAAUAGUAAACAGUACUGCACACAGCUAACAAAGGGAAUGGAAUGUGUGGGCAUGCAUGCAUUGUGGGAAUAUUAAUACAUGAGAGGAGUGCUGCUCCCCACAAGCAGUGGCUAUCAUUGAGACACUGUGCAUUGGCCCCUGUAUAAGCAAUAGGAGUGGUUAUGCAUUAUUAACUCACAUCAUAUGCCAUACUUUUGAUAGGGACAAAGGAACCACUCACUUAUAUAUAUGCAUUAUUGGGAGCAGUACAAAGAAUUUGCAAGCAUUUGGGGGGCCUGUAAUUUUGAGGGAAACCACUCUAUGCAAAUCUAAAAAAAAAAAAAAAAUUAAGAUUUUUUUUUUUUUUUUUUUUUAAGAUAGAGAGAAAGGUAGUAUGUUUGGUGAAAACUAAGAUUGUUUUCAGUAGAUGCUUGGUACAAUUUAGCCAAAUUAUUAGGAUCUUAUUGGUAAGGCACUUGGUGGGAUUUGAGAGAUUUCUUUGGUUCGAAUCCUAAUUUGAUCUUGGAUUACCGAGGUAUCAUCCAUAACUAUUUAGCCACUUGGGCUAGAGCUUGGUAGUAAUUUCAAAAUAGGAGCGUAAUUGUGUAGAUAUCAAGUUUUCUGCACUUAAAAAAGAAAGUUGCACACCAACCGUCCCUAGAGCAAGUUGUAAAGAACUUGGUAUCCGAGGUUUCAAGUUCGAACCAUAAUUGAUUCACAUUUCCAGCUAAGUUUAUUUUUAAAUGAAAAAAACGAAGCAGAUAGCGUACUACAGAGCUCUCUCAAAAAAAGAAAAAGAAAAAAGAAAGUUGCACAAUUUCGGCGAGUAAAUGAGCAAUGAAUGUCAAAUUUUCAAUAUGGGCAAAAAUUUGCAGUGAGAUGUGGAUGGCGAAUUAGAAAUUACUGUAUCAAUCUACUUAUUUGUAAACCUUGUAACAUGAGAAUAUCUGUUCAAGAUUUUUUUUUUUUGGGUUUAUUACAGAGUUGUUUGGAUUGUUUUGUAGAAAUACUAAAUACAACAAAACAAUCCUAAUCAUCUUAACUUUUUCUCUGUUUUUUUUGCAAUUUUGCAGUAAAAUGAGAGCAAAAACAUCUUAACAACUCUCUCCCCCUAACUCCCUCUAAAAAUGGAAUGUUUUUUUUUUGGUAAAAUGAAGGAUAAUCCAGAGCAAUUCAAACACCCUUAAUUGUGCACAAACUCAAUUCAAAAAUAAUAGGUGCCACAACUAUUUUUGGUUUUCAAUUUUUUUUAUUUUGAACUUGGUUGAAGAUAAUAGAUAAAAAUGCCACUCAUCGAAGCAAAUUUACCCUCCAAUUACAGUAAAAUUUAAAUUCUUCAAUGAUGACAUGUGAGACAUAAUGCUCUGUGAUAAAAUAUACAGAUAAUAUUUUUUAAUUUUAUAGUUGAUAGUGAAAGCCAAGAAGACAAAGUGACAAACACAACAUGUUAAGUGAGCCAUCAUCAUCAUCAUCAUCAUCAUCAUCAUUCUAUGCCAAAUUCCCCGCCAUUGAAGAUCUUUGUUUCAUCUUCCCUAAUUGACACAAAAACAAAUCAUCAACUAGUCAUAUAACACUCUUAUUCCUCCUCCCCUUUCCCCAAUAAAGAAGAGCAUAAGCAUAAAGCAAACAAAAGAGGCUCCUCUCUCUCUCUCUCUCUGUCUCUCUCUUCUCUCUCUACCUGGCAUCUUCCACUGUGUCAUGUGAGAUUGUGAAAAGCCAUUUUGCAUUACAAUCUCUCUCUCUCUCUCUCUCUCUCUCUCUCCCCUUGUGUUGUGGGGAGCCAUUUCCCAACUACUCUCUCUCACUCUCUUUGGCAUCUUCCACUUUGUGUUGUGAGGAGCCAAUUCCCAUUAGAAACUCUCUCUCUCUCUCUCUCUCUCUCUCUCUCAUUUGUAUUCUACUCAAAUCACUAUAUUCAUAUAUUCACCAUCCCCUUUCAUUCUCCUCUCUUAUUGGUAUAUCAUCUCCUUCUUUGGAAAUUUCCUCUCUUUUUCUCACUACAUUCCUCAAAGUUGGGUUUUUUUUUUUUUUUUUUUUUUAACUCUGAAAGGGUCCUCUUCCUCACCACAAGUUCAAUCAAAAUCCAAUUUUUAAUCUUGGGGUUUCUGUUUCUGCUUGUUCUUGAUGCUUCUCCCUCUUCAAUUUCUCAAAAUUUUCCACAAAUUUAGUUUACUUUUUACUCUUUGAUCUUGGUUUCUUCCACUUCCUCUGUGGAAUUGGGGCUUCCAUGGGACUCUGCCAUGGGAAACCGACUCAAAGCCCUAAGUUGGAGGGGAAGGAGGAGGAGGAUGAAGGAGACGAGUACGAGGAAGAAGAAGAAGAAGAGGAGGAGCGAAACCCUAAAAUCCCCGACCCCGACGCGCCGCCCCGCUCGAAGCCCUCGAUCCCCUUCUACAUCCCGAGCCCCCUCCCGGGCUCCUACAAGAGCUCCCCGGCGAAUCCGAGCGCCACUUCAACCCCUUUGCGAUUCUUAAAGCGCCCGUUCCCCCCGCCCUCCCCCGCGAAGCACAUUAGGGCGCUCCUCGCGCGGCGGCGCGGCGCCGUGAAGCCCAACGCCGCGGCGCCGGCGCCGGCGCCGGCGUCGGCUAUUCCCGAGGGGGAAGAAGCGGGGCUAGGGUUGGACAAGUGCUUCGGCUUCUCGAGGCAGCUCUUCGCCAUGUACGAGCUCGGGGAGGAGGUGGGGCGGGGCCAUUUCGGGUAUACCUGCGCCGCGAAGCCGAAGAAGAAGGGGGAGUUGCAGGUGGAGGAGGUGGCCAUUAAGGUUAUCCCAAAAGCAAAGGUAGUUCCUUUUUUCUCUUUUUCUUCUCCUUUUUUUUUUCGUAUUACAUACAGUGAGAAAAUCUGAUGAGAAAAGUACUUUAUUUGAUUUCGUACGCAAUGUUACGUUCCCACGUAGCAGUUACUUUGGUGAGAAACACACUAGAAAUAAAGGAAAAGAUAUUGAAUAAUAUCUGAAUGUUUGUAAGGUAUUAGAAGUUUAGUGAGAUGUAUAGAUUAACUUAAAGCUGGAUUAUAAAAGGAUAUCCCAGUAUUUAACCCUUUUUUUACAGAUGUGCAUUUAGAAGUGCUUUUCUUUGUUUGGUUUUAUGAUCAUGAAAAUGCACCAACUUUUUUCGAGUUGUAAUUUGACCAAAAGCCCAGCAACUAAGAAUGCAUAUCAAGUUGACCCACAAAGCUUCUUUAGAACAAAUCAGGCUCAGCAAUAUUUGGUUUGUUCCUAAUUGUAGGAUAAGAUUAAAAGUGCUUCAUUUUUUGGGUGAAAACAAUAAAGUGCACCAACUCUUUUUUUGAAUUUUAACUUGGCCAAAAAUUUUCCAUUUCAAGUUGAUCCAUAAAGCUUGCUAAUAUUUGGUGUUUAAGUGAUGUUGGACUCAUUCACAUUAAAUCCAACAAUCCCAAUCAGUCAUUUUUCUUGUUAUAUCAUGUUCUUAGUAAUAUAAUGGUGAAGCUUAUUACUAUUCUUUGAAGGUAUUUAUCUGAAUAUGUGACAUGGUGUCCGACUAUGGCUAAUUAAUUAUUUACAAUUCACAAGCUUUCUAACAUAUAUUGCUCUGCGACAAGUAUUGAUACCUUCUGCAGAUAUAUUGUUUUUUUCCUUUUAUCUUCUUUCUGUAAAGCAUGUUUUGCAAAUUUGUUUUUGACUGCACUACCAUGUUAACUUUUGUUUGCUUUAUCUGAGUGUUCAUUGAUUAAAAAUCCUGUAGAGCUGGAGCAAUGUCCGAUAAAUGGACAAGUGAUAAUCAAUACCUGGCAUUUAGUACUACUAUUUGUUUUCUACCUAUAACAUAAUACUGUAGUGUAAAAUCUGCUGUGUAGUACUUUGUCCUUUCUCAAUCAUUAAAUGAUGCCACUUAUAAUAGUUUGCCUCAGUUGGUUCUUUGAGGAUGGGAUCUAUAUAGAUUUUUUUUUCCCCUCUUAAAUAAUUUCUCUGUUUUUUCCAUGAAGAACUUAUUUAAACUUUGCUUAGAAUGGAAUAAUAAGCCUGAUCUGUUACUUUCUUGUAAUGAAAAACAAUUAAAAUGCUAAUAUUUACUGGAUUGGCGACCUUUUUCUUGUUUUCACUGUUGGUUUAGUAUGUUGUGUAAAAUAACACUUUUGAGUGUUUUGUUAUGAUAUUUUGAAUUUCAUAUUUGGGGAGCUGAAAAUGGUCGUAGGUGAAGAACUAAGCAUAAAAUAAAUACAUAUGCAUAUCUCGCAUGGUCUAAUGUGGUAAGCACUUUGGCAGAUGACAACAGUUAUUGCUAUUGAAGAUGUUAGACGAGAAGUGAGGAUAUUGAGCUCUCUGACGGGACAUCAGAAUCUAGUGCGAUUCUAUGAUGCUUAUGAGGAUGAAGAGAAUGUUUAUGUAGUCAUGGAGUAAGUCCUCAUUGCAUUUUCUUGUUCUCUCCCUAUUGAACGAUAUUGUUGAUUUAUCUCAUGUUCAAAAUUUAAACAUAAUGAACUGGCAUCUGUGUUGUAGCACAGAGGCAGUAUCCAAAUUUGGAGUCUGCUAUAUUGAAACUUUUGGGAUGAGAAAUACUAACUGAAAAAUGGAAAAAAAAUUCGAAAAAGUGGUUACUUAAAACUUAUUUUGGAAUUUGUGACUCCCUUGCCUACAUGGUAGGAAUGAGAUGCGGCCAUUUCAGCCCAUUUAGGUUGUUGAACAGCCCAAGUAUGGCUUAACUUUCUACCAGCUGAAUAAAAAGCGAACCGAUAUCCAUUUCAACCUUGUUUAGGCUGUUGAAUACCCCGAGGUUCGACUUGACUGUUGAACAGCCGAGGGCGCCAUGAACACACACCUUUCCCUGUCCCGCACUUGCUUUGAAUGUACUGUUUAGGCUGUUUAUAUUACCUUUCUUUGAUCUAGCGCUUCAUAAUCUUGCAAGUAUUAUUUGUAGCUUAUAAUUGUAAUUUUGUGCUCUUCAGAUUAUGCAAGGGAGGUGAAUUAUUGGACAGGAUAUUAUCAAGGUAUCUUUAAAUUCAUGAUAUAUACAUAAGUUACAUUUCCAGUUUCUGUUCAAGUUACCUACUUGUUUGUUUAAGUUUGAGGUUUGAGGUUCGAGGGUCGAACCAUGUGAUUAGCAAUUACAUACACGAUUGGCAGGGGCGGGAAGUAUUCUGAGGAAGAUGCAAAGGUUGUUAUGGCUCAGAUUUUGAGUGUCGUAGCCUUCUGUCAUCUUCAUGGUGUUGUCCAUCGAGACCUUAAGCCAGAGGUAGUAGAAGUUUGUUUAAUCCACUUGAGAUUUUUUCCUUUUUCCAAUAUCUGAUUAAAGUUUUGGAAUGUCAUUUAUGACUCUAUUAAUAAAUAAUAAUAUGUGCUUGUAACUUUGUGUUUCAGAAUUUUCUUUUCACUUCAAAGGAUGAGACCUCUACCUUGAAAGCCAUUGAUUUUGGCUUGUCCGAUUUUGUAAAGCCAGGUCUGUUUAAUGUAAUCUUGAUUGCGACCUUGUUUUUAGUUGUUUCAAAUAUUUAUUUGGUGAGAUAUUUACACAUAUACCUCCUUAAAAUAUCAUCUCUGUACUUAUAUGUAUCCUUUCAAAAUCUAAAUUUUUAUAUAUGCCCUUUGGAAACUUAAUUUUCUUUGACAUGUAUGCUUUAACUUACAGAAAUUCCCUUCUAAGCACCUUUUUUAAAACAAAGAUAACUUCUUCCCAUGAAUCCGUGACUACGAAAUGUGCAGAUGAAAGGUUAAAUGACAUCGUGGGAAGUGCAUAUUACGUCGCUCCUGAAGUUCUCCAUAGAUCUUAUGGAACCGAGGCGGACAUGUGGAGUAUUGGAGUAAUAGCAUAUAUUUUACUUUGUGGAAGUCGUCCUUUCUGGGCCCGCACGGAGUCGGGCAUAUUUCGAGCAGUCCUAAAGGCGGAACCGAGCUUCGAAGAAGCUCCGUGGCCUUCUCUCUCCGCCGAGGCUAAAGACUUUGUCAAGAGGCUUCUUAAUAAGGAUUACCGCAAGAGAAUGACUGCUUCGCAGGCUCUAAGUAUGUUCCUUGUUAUAUUGCUGUUGUUCAAUUCUUGUGUAGUUAAAAUUUGCUUUUCGUUAAAGCGUAAAUUCCAUUUUCUAAAUUUAGGUCAUCCUUGGAUUCGGAAUUCGCGAGAAGUGAAGAUUCCUUUGGACAUCAUAGUCUAUAGGAUGAUGAGAGCUUAUAUAUGUUCAUCUUCUCUAAGGAAAGCAGCUUUGCGGGUACAAUGAUUUUCCUUCUUCCUAUAAAUAUCUAAGUUAUUUAUCCCCCUGUAGCCCUGCUGGAUAAUUUAGUCCUCUUAUUUGUUCGUACUUACCAUAUUGUAUGUAAUGCAAUGAUUCUGUGCACUUUGUAGUAAGCUUGAUUCUCUUUUUAUCUUUUUUGUGAAUGUUAAGAUGCAGAAAAUGAUUCUCUUUUUAUCUUUUUUGUGAAUGUUAAGACGCAGAAAACUCGGCAUACAACAAAUCAACUGGAAUUUGGAUUGAUAGUUUUCAUUUUGCAGGCCCUUGCCAAAACUUUAACAGUGUCUCAGCUGUCAUAUUUGCGAGAUCAAUUUGGAUUACUGGGGCCGAACAAGAGUGGCUUUAUCUCUAUACAGAAUUUGAAGACGGUUAGUAAUUUCCUGCCAUCAUAUAUGCAUGUGUGCGAGAAAUGUAUAUUUAUUUGUGUGUUCACCUGAGUCAACCUCCGACAGGCUUUCUUGAAAAGCUCGACCGAGACGAUGAAGGAUUCAGGGGUUCUUGAUUUUGUUAACAUGGUAUGUCUCCGCAUCCUAGUACACAAUUGUUACUUCUUAAUCUGAUUGCUCUGAAACAAACUUUCCAAGAAGAUAAUUCGCUCCGAUGACGGUUUUGUAGGUGAGUUCUCUCCACUACAGAAGGUUAGAUUUCGAAGAAUUUGUCGCCUCGGCAAUUAGUGUUUAUCAGAUGGAAGCACUGGAAACGUGGGAGCAGCACGCCCAUCGUGCAUACGAAUUCUUCGACAGGGACGGCAAUCGGCCAAUUAUGAUCGAAGAACUCGCAUCGGUACGAUUCUCAUAAUUAAGUCAUUUUUCUAAGUCAUUUCUAUUUUCACAGUUGAACCCAUUGAUUACUUUAUGGGCUACGAAGAAAAUUAAUAAAAUUUCUAUGUUUUUUUUUUCCCCUUUCUUAGGAACUUGGUCUUAGCCCUUCAGUCCCUGUUCAUGUUGUUCUGAAAGACUGGAUAAAACAUUCCGACGGGAAACUUAGUCUCCUCGGAUUCAUUAAACUUCUACAUGGGGUUUCUUCGCGGUCGAUUCCCAAAGCCUAGCCAAUGAAAGCCUAAUCCUGUGAAUCCCGAAAUUAGCGCAGAUGAUAAGGUGGUGCAGAAACAAGAUCAUCAGCUUUUAUCACAAGACAAACAAGGUCAAUUUUCUGUUUCUUUUUUUUUGUCAGAUUUGUCACUUCUUUUCCCUAUCGAAUGGAUUGAUCACAGAGCGAAGUCGCUCAGAUGAAUGUAUAGAUUCAGGAUAGUAACUAGAAAAGUUAAAAAGUAAAUCCAUGCUAGGUUUAGUUGGUUCUCCUCCCUGUAGACUCUCAAAUCUCAUUACUCAAUUCUCAAUUAUGAGUAGGGAACUUAAAUUUUGGGGGUGAAAUAGUGUCUAGGGCCUUUUUUCUCAUCCUAUGAGGUAUCAAUGUAUGUAACGAUGAUUCUGCCCAGUAGCAUUAAUAACUUGUUGGGUCCAACCACUGGCCUAAGAUGCUUAAGGAAGAGUCCGUACUCCGUUAGUAGUAAUUCCUUUUCCAUCCGAUACAGGAUUAUUGAUGUGUCACCACCCAAGAGAAGCCUAAAAUGUUGUUAACACCAAAACAAACCACAAAAGCUUCAUCUAAAUGAAAACGUUGUCCAUUUUACUAUGAAGUUUAAACAAGUAGACACUAUUGAAGAUAAUGAAAACAUCGAAACAUCGUCCAGGGACACUAUUCAGCAUGCAUCAUGUGAUUGGUCACAUGCAUUGUACCUUCAAGUAUCAUGCUUAGUUAUUUUUGUUUCCUCUUUCAGUUUCUUUCUUCCGAGGGUCAGUUGGUUGAACGUAAUUGUAAAUGCAAUGUAGUUAGAGAUGCAUAUAGUUGAAAACACUGCAUGUACCCUUUUUGGUUGAAUAGAGUGAAUAUUUGGUUUCAUGUGGUUGAAUUUUGUAUUUACAAUUUUUUUUGCUUUUUAUAUGGAAUGGUGAGGUUGCUUUUAAUAUAUAAGGAAAAAUGUCUUCUCUUUAAAAGAUGAUUUAAGGUUGUAAGCUUAUUUUUUAUUUAAAAUUAUUCUCUUUAUUUGUUACAAUUGGAACUGUACCCAAUUUGGACGUAGUCUUAAUUUCUACUGUUGAGCCUCCUUAUGCUUUUCCAACUGCAGUGUUGGAUUUAAAUGGAUCAAAUUAAACACCAUAUCGGAAUUUGUAUGCAGUUAUAAUUACGGUACAGUUGCAACUACAUGUCCUAAGUAAAUUUCUGGUUACUGGGGAUCAUCAAAAAAAAAAAUUCCCUAAAUUAUUCUGUUCUCAGAUGCAGUAAGUGCUUUUUUCUUAAAACAUAUUUCUAUAUACAAAAUUAUACUUGGCCUGGUGACAACAGUAUUUUCUCUUAAGAUAAACCUUUUUGAAUUGGCCUUGUUUAGAUUCUGCAAUAGGAUAAGCUUGGUUCAGAAUAGUAUUAAAGUUGGAAAAUUAACUAGUUUUGAAUCCCUUUUCCCCUCUCUCUCUCUCUCUCUCUCUCUUGGAGAAAAUUGCCUCUGUAUCCUUGUACAAGUCCUAAAUUUUGUAUUUACCCUUUGUUUCAAAUAUAUUCCAGAAAAGUUUUUUUAUGUAUGUACCCCUGUUUUGAGGGUUUACUCAAAACAAUUAGGUGAGUUUAGAAGGAUAGGUUGAGAAUAGUAAAUUUGUACGGGAGAAGUCGGGAACUUUUUAAGAGUAUAUAAGUAAGGAACUAGUUUUGAAUCUUUGGCGAUAACUUGGGUAGUAUAUGAAAAUAUUUUUCUGUAAUUGCAAGUUGAGAGAUACUGCUUUCCAGCUAUUGUUAUGUAAUUAAAUCUUACAUGCACAGUAAUCUCUAUUCCAAAAAAAGUAAUAUAUAUGUUGAUCAUAUUAUUUGAUUAUUGAUACUGUUUUAUUUGUCGAUCAAUUGUGUGGAGAACAUCACCGAUCAUACCUAGCACAGCUUGUUAAGAAUUUGAUAUUUGAUAAUCAAAAUUUCAAGUUUGAAAUCAAGUUGCUUCACAUUUAUAGCUGAGUUCAAAAAAACUAAAUUCAAAGCGGGUAGCAUGCAGUGUCUUUCUCUCUCAAAAAAGAAAAAAAUAUGGAGAACAUCACCCAAAAAAAAAAACAAAUAACCACAAAAAUGUAUUAAAUUUGAAAAUAAAAUAAUAAAAAAAACCUGUUCUGAUGUUCUUCUAUUUGCUGAUAAAUAAAAUUGAUUAUUAAUAGAAAUAAAAUUUUAAGAAAAGGAAUUUUAAAAACUGGAGAUGCGGGGUAUCGAUCCCCGUACCUCUCGCAUGCUAAGCGAGCGCUCUACCAUCUGAGCUACAUCCCCUGCUGGAAAUUUCGUGCAGUAUAAUAUUUAUAUUAUUAAAAUGUAAGAAGUACGCAAUAAUUAUUAUUAAAUAAAUUAAAUAUAAUAUUAUUUUAUAUAUAAAUUGAGAGGUUCUCGAAAUCGAGAGAUCACGCGAGCGGAGGCUACCCCUCGUCCUCCUCCUCCUCUGCUUCACUCUCUCUCUCUCUCUCUCUCUCUCUCUCUCUCUCUCUCUCUCUCUCUCUCUCAUGGCGAUCCCUCGCAUGAAGAAGAGGCCUCGCCCUCUCCUCCUCCUCGCCCUCACCCUCGCCCUCGCCGCUGUGUCCCUCGUCCUCUUCGGGAUCCUCUUCUUCUCCGCCGCAUCCUCGCUCCCCACCCUCGGAUCCCUCCUCUUCUCCUCCCCCGCCCACUGGUCCGCGAGCGGCGGGGGCGGCGGCGGCGGCGGAGGAGGAUUGUACGGCCUCGAGCGGCGGUACCUGUACUGGGGCCACAGGAUCGAUUGCCCCGGCAAGCAUUGCGAGUCGUGCGCGGGGCUAGGGCAUCAGGAGUCGAGCCUCCGAUGCGCCCUCGAGGAGGCCCUCUUCCUUCAGAGGUCGGAUCUCUUCGAUAUCUUUAAUUCGUUUCUUCUUGUGAUUAAUGGUUUAGUAGUAGCUUUACAUUUACUUCGCUGUGUUCUACUGUAAUUAAAUAUCAUCAUUGGGUUUGGUUUGAGAUCUAGUUUUUCUCUAGGUUUAAUUUUUGUAGUUGGAAAUGUAUGGAGACCUUCUCAACUAUAGAUCAUUUUGAAAUAGGCCCCUCGAAGAUCCCAUCAAAUUUUAGUUAUUUUGAUUGGGGUGAUUCUCCUGAGUUUAAUUGGGGAUUUGUCGAAAUUAAUUGCUCUGUUGAAAAAAAAAAGCUUUUAAAACAGUCAAAUUUAAUUUAAUCACCCUUAAAUUUAAUAAAAAUCAAAUAUUGGUUGACGAAAAUAAUGCAGAUCAAAAUAUCAAAGUUAAGAGCAUCUCAAUUGAAAAAAAAAAAAGAAGAAAGAAAAUUGUUUAGUGGUCUAUUCCAACACUGCUUAUAGUUGAUGGGGUCCCUGUUAGUUGUCUUUGUAAGAAAUAUAGAACUUUUGGUCCAACAUGAUAUUUAUUGCUCCUUCCUUGAAUUUAGGUAAAAGCUUAUGGAAACCCCCUCAACUAUAGGCCAUUAUGAAAUGGUCCCCUCAACUUUAAUUUUUUGAUUGAGUAUGCUUGAACUUUUGAUUUGAUUCAAUUGUAUCAAAUAGAUUGGAAAUUUUAUCAGAUCCAUAGGUAUUUUUUCCGAAUUAAUGGCUUUUAGCAUAUAUAACUAGACCAACUAAAGAUUAAUAAUUAACAAAGUUAUUUAAGGGGUCUGUUUUAAAAUAACCUAUACUUGAGGGGGGUGUCCAUACAUUUUACCGAGAAUUUGUUACCUCUUGCUAGUAGUUAUUGUACUUUGGCCUGAUCGUAACCAAGCUUUGCUACGCUUUAACUAUCUCAAGUUUCCUUACAAGAACUAAUUGUGCACACAAUUCUAGUAUGAUCAGGAACUGAAUCUCGGUAAAGUUCUAAGAUUUGUUGUUUCUUUUCUAUGCAGAGUGUUCGUGAUGCCUUCUAGAAUGUGUAUUAGCUCGAUUCAUAACAAGAAGGGAAUCUUGCAUUCCCCUAGUGAUGCAAGUUCAGAGGAAAGGUAAGCUUAUCAAGUACCAGUCGCUAGCUGUUUUAAUUUUUAGUUGUCUGACAGUAUUUAGAGAUAAUAUAUCUGAGAAUUGACAAUUUUAUCAGUAGAUGUCUUACAGCAGCCUCUUGUUAUUUGGUGUGUUUUGAUCACUAAAUCUUUAUGUAUGAUGCAUAAUGUCAUAAUUUUAUUUCUAUCAUUCUUGUGCACUGUUAUUAGCUCAGUUUCUUGUGGACUGUUCAGGUUUUUCUAAUGUAUUGUGCAUUGUUUGAACCAAAUAUAUCAAGUAUGAUUAGUUGUUUCUCAUUUAUACUUCUGCUUUACAUUUGCUUGACCUGGAAAAUAUUUUUGACGUUAAUCAUUUUAAGAAUCUAAUUCUAGCUUAGAGGUAGUUUAUUGUUGUGAAUGGUAGUCAUAUCUUUUACUCUUUAUUCUUUGAUCUGUUUAUGUUGCAACUGUACCCUAAUUAUAGUAGCCAGAAGAGAUGUCAAAGCUAGAUGUUGGCAAUAUGUUUUCAAUUUGCAUUGUAGCAUUUUGACUUCUGUUAAGUGUUAAAAUUUAUGAUUCAAAUUUAAAUGCUUUACAGAUGGGAAGCUAGUUCUUGUGCGAUGGAUUCUUUGUGCGAUGGAUUAUUUGGUGUGUUUUGAUCACUAAAUCUUUAUGUAUGAUGCAUAAUGUCAUAAUUUUAUUUCUAUCAUUCUUGUGCACUGUUAUUAGCUCAGUUUCUUGUGGACUGUUCAGGUUUUUCUAAUGUAUUGUGCAUUGUUUGAACCAAAUAUAUCAAGUAUGAUUAGUUGUUUCUCAUUUAUACUUCUGCUUUACAUUUGCUUGACCUGGAAAAUAUUUUUGACGUUAAUCAUUUUAAGAAUCUAAUUCUAGCUUAGAGGUAGUUUAUUGUUGUGAAUGGUAGUCAUAUCUUUUACUCUUUAUUCUUUGAUCUGUUUAUGUUGCAACUGUACCCUAAUUAUAGUAGCCAGAAGAGAUGUCAAAGCUAGAUGUUGGCAAUAUGUUUUCAAUUUGCAUUGUAGCAUUUUGACUUCUGUUAAGUGUUAAAAUUUAUGAUUCAAAUUUAAAUGCUUUACAGAUGGGAAGCUAGUUCUUGUGCGAUGGAUUCUUUGUACGAUCUAAACCUCAUUUCAAAAGUAGUUCCAGUGAUUUUGGACAACUCCAAUCUGUGGCACCAAAUACUGUCAACAAGUAUGAAACUAGGAAAGAGGGGGGUGGCUCACGUGGAAGGAGUCAACAGAUCUGAUCUCAAAGAAAAUAGCAUGUACUCAAAUGUGCUUCUAAUAAAUCGCACUGCAAGUCCUCUGGCAUGGUAAAAUUUGUUAUUAUUAUUUCAUUAAGUAACCUUUUAUUCCUUCUUCUUGUCAGAUUUAAUAUCUGGGAUGCGUUUCUUUUACUCCUUUAAAUAUCAAAAUCGAUGAAAGAUGCACAAUUUUGCUAGGUGAAUGUUUGAAACAUCAAGCGCUAGUCUUGAUCAUGAUAACCAUCCAGGUUUAUGGAGUGCAAGGAUAGAACCAAUCACAGCUCUAUUUUGCUGUCGCACUCCCUUUUGCCAACCAUGGCAGCUGAAAGAUUGCAAAAUGUGGCAGAUAAAGUAUGUCUUCUUCAGCUUUUUCUUCUUCUUUUUCCCCUUUAAUUUCGUGCUAGGUGAGAGUGUGACUUUCUUUCUUGUCCUGGAAUAUAUGCAGCUUAUCCUUCCCGCUGUUGUCAAUUGUUACUUGUUUCUGAUUUGGAACUUUCGAUAACCCAGCUCUUCCUAUAUUCAUGAUAGACAGGAUGUACACUCAUGUCAUGAUAAACAAGAUAUACUCCCUUAGGACUACUUCUGUAAUCCGCAUCUUUCAAAUGUCAAACAACCUCUUUACAUUUUUAAGCCCUAUCAUCCAACUAGAGUUGUGUUUCAAUUGCUUUCUUGAGUAGUCAGUGCUGGGUGAUCUUGGUCGAUUUUAAUAGAUGAUUAUUUUCAGGCUAGGUCUCUCUUUCCAUGCACCUUUCCGUGAGUAGGGAUUUUAUUUGUUUCCCAUCGAAUUGGCACACAAAAAAUCAGCUAAAUAAUUUAACUUGUUAUCAGCAUUAAGCUGUUCCUGAUCUCAUCUAUUUGAGGAAAAGAUGUUUGUAUUAGCACUUGAGCCACAUCCGUAUAAUCCGAAUAAUUAAUUAGAGUGACUUGCUCAUAGUAUAAGACCUGUAACUUACCUGUUAGUUUGUUCAACAUAGACAUGUAGUAUUGGUAAUAACAUGCAACACAGUUACUCUUUAGGCACUUGAUUUGGCAUAUACGCCUAGUUUUUAAACAAAACCCAUGUUGAUAGCAAAGCCAACUUGUGGGCAUUGAUUAAGCUACUCCUACACUGCCUACGAACUGACUGAAUUAGACUUGUCUUAAAGUUAUGCGAAAUAGUUAAGAGGUUCGAGUGACCAUAACAUGCUGAGUGUUAUAGUUUAUAUUAUUUGCAUAUCUCUGUGUACAUGGUCCUCUUAUUAAAGCAAAAUGCUCUUUCUGUGUGCGGCCUUCAUUUAGCUUACAAAAAAGUAUAUUCGAUGCAGAUUAAAAAAUCACUUGGUGAUUAUGAUGCUAUUCAUGUGCGGCGAGGGGAUAGGUUGAAAACCAGGAAAGAUAGAUUUGGAGUUGACAGGAGCCGUCAUCCGCAUCUCGACAGAGACACCCGCCCUGAAUUUAUACACCGGAGGAUCGCAAAAUGGAUUCCGCCUGGACGUAGUCUAUUCAUUGCUUCAGAUGAGAGGACUCCCGGCUUCUUUUCGCCUCUAUCCGCCUGGUAUCCCCUAAUCCUUUUUAAUAAUAAUCUGAUCAGUUUAUUUUGGAAUUUACUUCUCAGACCCAUACAAGUCCAAGAUACAUGCGUGUAAGUCCCUUGUCUCUUUUGAUUUUAUGGACCAUUGAUCUUAAGGACUACUAAAUUAUGAUAAGCACUUUAUGUCUAUAAAGAGUUGGGCUUUUUUUUUUUUUAAUGCAUGUAUCCUAUUUUUACUUGUUUUUCUGUUUUAUUUUGUGCCUCAUUACCUCUUAUCGCUUAACCUAAAUAUUAUUUAUAUUUCUCAGCCAUGCAAUUCUUGUCCAACAUAUAUUCAUCUAUAAUGUUACUAUUUCAGCUAAGAAACUAAAUAUUCUUGUGAUUCCACUUGGUCAAUGAAAAUGCCUGGAUAUUGCUUUCAUGUGAUUAAUCAAAAAAUUACAAUAUUUUGUCACCUGCAAAAUUGAGAAAAAGUUUUACAUUCUUGAAACAAGUUUACCUACUAUUUGGACACAUUUAUUGUUCUUCAGGUACAAAUUAGCAUACUCAUCAAACUUCAGUAGCAUAUUGGACCCGGUAAUCGAAAACAACUAUCAACUUUUCAUGGUCGAAAGGUUAAUUAUGGGAGGCGCGAAAACUUUUGUGAAGACAUUUAAGGAAGACGAGAAUGACCUUUUCCUCACAGACGAUCCGAAGAAGAAUCCGAAGAAUUGGCAAAUGCCUGUUUAUACUGACGAAGAAGACGGAAGCUGAAAAAUGGAGAAAAUGCACAAAAGUGCGCACAGCUUGCCUACAUCUUAGUGAGCUUACAAAAUUCAAAUCAGUGAAUUCGACACCUUACUGAAAUAUCGUUUUUAAAUUGGAGGUGUUACUCAUUCUUUUUUUCCUGUUUUUUUGGGGGGGCGGCGAAGAAAGAAAAAAGAAAACAAAGAUUGGAACAGUUGUAUAUUCUGCAAUGCAUAUUUUUUGUGUUACAUGACAUGGAAGAGAUUGUAAACUGUGAUUAUCGUAUUCUUGAGUAAUAGUAGUCAAAAGACAAUUUUAAGACUCAAAUUUGAAUUCGAUUUUUCUUCAUAUACAAAUUUGAAUUCGGAUUCAGAUAUACAUGCAUUCAAGUAUAGACUCAAAGCUAGGCCUGUGAUCUUGAAACAUAAUAAAAAUUUAUAUCCAAAUAUUUAUAUUAAAUAAAGUAUAAUCUUUUCAAAUAUCCAUAUCACGAUCAGUCGCUGCCGUUCCUCCUGCUACUAAGGCCCAAUUUAUAAUUUACGAAAUAAUACUAUCAAAAUUUUAUUUAGUCAAAUAAUUCUAUUUCGUAAAGAAUUAAUUAGUCAAAUAAAAUUUUAUACAUUUUUUUUAUUCUAAUUUUUAUAGAGAUAUUAAGUAAAAAAAAAAACCUUUAAAUAUCGUCCCCGUGGUUUCACACUUUUUUAUUUUAGUAUCCUAUAAUUUAAAGUGUAUCAAUUUAGUAAACCGUGAUUUUAAUUUUCUCUUUUUAUUAUUUUUUGCACUAAUUUUUUUCGUUAAAUCGGUGUUAAAUCGGUGAUAUAGUUAAAACUAAAAAAUACUAAAAUGAGAAUAUUCGAUAAAUUUAGAUAGAAUAUCUGAAGUAUUUUUAUAUAUCAUUUAACGAAAUAUUAAUGAAGAAGCUGACGAAAAAAAAAAAAAAAAAGUACUAAAUUGUUAUUACACUUUAAACUAUACGUACUAAAAUAAAAAAUUACAAAAUAAUAGGAUGAUAUUUAAAAUUUACCCAAAAAAAACAAGGAAGAAAAAUCCUUUGGCCCGAAGGCAUUCCCCCGUCGCUUUCAGCCAGUGGCAUCUGCGUCGCGCAGGGCCGCUAAAUCGGUCGGCUGUCUUUACACGGGCACGGAUCCACUGGCGCCACGCGGCCCAAUGGGAAAUCAGAUUUAGAUGGAAUUUCUUCUCAGCCACACACACCGACACAUGAUACAUCACACAUACAUCCUCCCUCACCCACAAAACCAACCAUCUAUACAACUUCUCGGAGAAGCUCCUCCCCCCUCUUUCCCAAUUUCCUCCCCCCUUAUCCACAAGCGCUUCUCCUCAGUGUUUUUUUUUUUCUCCUUUUUUUUUUUCAAAAAAGAGAUCUUUCUUUUUGUUUAUUGAUCCCUCCAUCUCUUCUUCCACCACCAAAUUACAGUAAGAAUCCUUAAAUUCUUCUUCUUCUUCUUCUUCUUCUUCUUUUGAACUUUUUCUUCUUUUUUAGUUGUUUAAGGGUGCUUGCUUUUGAGGUUUAUUUGAUUUUUACCUGCUUUUCUUGGGUCGGUUUGGGAUUUUGGAUCUUGGAUUUUGGAUUAUGGAUGAUCGUGCUUUGUAAUUUUAGUUCUUCUUUGUGGGUUUUACUUUUCUUUUUCUCAUGUAAGUUAUAAGUGGAUCUGUGCCCUUUUUUCUUCACUUGAUUUCUUUUUUCCUUCUUAUUCGAGUCUUUUUCUGAAAAGAUUAAAUUACUACUAGUAUGAAUCUAUGCUUUCUAGCUUAGUUUUACUUUUGGAUCUUACUUUUUUUUAAAAAAAAAAGAAAUUUAACUUGAUUUUUCCUGAUAUGAUGAUCGAUGUUUAGAAUUUUGCUUAAAAAAAGGCCAUAUAUAUAUAAAUAUAAAUGAGAAAAACCAAUUGUUGUGGAUGCGAAAUUACCAUGUUUUUAUAGUUUUAUUAGCUUUGUAUUCCCCAUUUUUGCUUACUCUGCUAGAAAAAUGAAAGUGAAAAUUAUCAACUAACAGGUCUUGAUCAUGUGGAAUUUCUUCAGAUCCACAUGAAAAAAGAGAAAUUGCAAAAUUUUACUACCAUCGCGAGUGUUUCGAUUGCUUAUGUUGAGCAGAUUCGAUAAUCUGACAUGUUCUUAUUUACAGAUAAGCAGCAUGGAUUGGUAUUUCCUCGAAGAAAGCGACGAUUUUCUUGUCCCGAGUGAUCAAGAACCCUUUGGAGAUGUUCCUGCGUUUUCAGAUGACUGGCGUUCUUGGGCCGUCGCUCCGCCAAAAGUUUCUCAGCCGUGCGGGGAUGAUGCUCUUCUGCAGCACGGUCGAGGUUUAUAUGCUGACGAAAUGAAGCAGAGUGCAUUCAAAGAGGGAGAAAGAGGAUUCGGUGAUUCGACCGCACGGGGAGAGUCUACGCCGCUCGAUUGCUGUCCAAGAAGCUCGGAAGAAUCGUUCGAAUGUCAGACCAAGUGCGAGAUGCCGGACAACUUGGAGGAAAUGGAUAACAUUUUCUUGUGCAAGCAUAACUUCCGGGAUCCUUGGUAAAAUAUACAUAUAUAUAUAGUUUUAGCUCCUAUUGGAAAUAAAGUAGUUUGUUUUACAUAAAAAGUAGGGCUUAAAUUACAUAUCUGUAUGUUAUGUGUAAAUUAAAAUGUAGUGGAUCUUAAAUUAAGGUAUAAACAGUUAAAUAUGAUCAAGAACAUCUAAGAUGCAUGCUGAUAAAGUUCCACAAAUUUUGAAAAUCGAUUUCUUACACAUCGAGUGGUGUUAAGAUCAAUGACCCGGAAUUUACAAAAAAAGGGCUUUUUUUUAUAUAGGUCUUCAAAAAUUAUGAUUUUUUGUAAGUAGGUCUAUUUUAUGUUGUAAAUCACUUUCAAGCGGUUUAGAUCUUCAUUUUGAAACUUUUGUGAUUGGAUUUUAGCUUGUGUUAGUAGUGUGUAACUUAAAAGUGUGUAAUUGGGUCUCUACUCUAGAUAUAUUUAUCUUGCAACCUCAAAUUUUUAAAUAGGCCCUUUAGAAACUUAUUUUCGAGUAUAUAUUAACCAAUUCGUGACGAACUGGAUGACUUUCGAGUCUCAACUUAGAUAAACAUAUUUUUAUAGCUGCAAAUAGAUGAUUUUGCCGGGAUAUAUUAAUAAAAACCCCUAAGUAGUUUGUACUUCUUUGGAUUUUGAUGUCAUGGAUGCUUAUGCAGGAAUUCAUUUCUGGAAGUAGAUACACGGAACAUGGAAAACGCAUUUGAGCCAGUACAAAUGUUCCCCGACUCUAUGUACAGGUCGUUGUCGUUUGAGAAUAUAUUGGCGACUAUGCUCGCCGAUCCACAAAAUCAUUCGGCAAGUUUAAGUAGAAGUGAAAGUAUGAAUGAUCUUGAAGCCUGUGGAAUUCCUCUGUUCCCUAAUGACCUGUCGGAAGAUUUCGAGAAGACUGAUGACUGCUCAUCUUCAUGCGUGAAUAUGCCAGACGGGUCUGUAAUACUUCGUGCCGAGGUAAAAUCAUCUGUCGUUUCGUUAAUUGAUAAGGUCGUGUUGAUGCAUAUUUACCAAAAGAAUUGAUGAAAGAUUAGACAUUCUGUUCGAAUUCUCUUUAGCCAUUAAACUUGCCAUAUUUUAGGUUUUAUUUGCUCUAUGCUUCGAGUCCUUAGUUUUGAGGUUUGAAAUGUAGUAUCUUGGAUUUCGAGUUUCUGCUGAAUUGUUAAUGUACAGAAGAAAACUAAAUGCUAGUAUUCGAAUUUCGAUCACCUUUAAUCUGCUGUCUCAUAGCUGGUUUUCACACACAUUUUUGUUGAUAGUUUAUUAAUUCCUUAAUUAUUAUUUAACCUUACUUCCUUUGGAUGAGAAAUGUCCUUAUAUUCUUAUUAUUAUCAUGUUCCAGAGAGGCAUGACCUUGGGUGCUUCAUGUUUAGUGUAAUUUCACUCUCAGGAUUCGGAUCCCUACAUAUUCGUUCCGGCUGAAGUUAGACCAACAAGUGAGAGCAAAUUAGUUGCUGCUGAUGCAGAGAAGCCUAAAUGUUCGGAGGCGACAGUGCUGCGAGAGCUUGAAGAUGCAAUAUUGCUGGUAAAUUCAACAACGAAUCCUACGUCGUUUUCCCCUAAAUUCAUUUCGUGUUUCUGAAGUAUGCCAAUUGAACAGCUAAAUGAGGAGACGAGGAUUUGCUUCCGCGAUUCUUUGUACAGACUUGCUAGUAGUUCGAAAGACAAAAAACGCAAAAGAGAUGAAAGCAGAAUCACGGAGACGACUGUUGUCGCUUCGGCUCCAAAGAUGAAGGGUGUAAGUUCAAGGUAUGCCGCGAAAAUUUUCCUUGUUGCUAGUUCGGAGCUUCUGUAUCUGACAUUUUCCUAGUUGCUGGUUCAUGCUAAUAAGUAACAUAAUGUCUAAUCCUGUAUUAAUGGUAAUUCCUUCUCUUGUUUUUUGUAAUCCAUCGGAACUUUUGGCAUCGUUAUACCAUUCCGACAAAUGUAUCGACACAAUAAAGGCUUAAAUACAAAUAACCCCCCUUCAAUUUUCGCCGUGUAUAUAAAAUUGCAUCAAUUUUGAUCCUUAACUUUACAAAUGUCUGAAAUAGGCAGAAGGACAUUAUUAGUUGUGUGAAUCUGCAACUAGCUUAUCUUUACGAAAUAAAACAGGAGUUUUUCACAAACUUUGGUAAUUUAAAUCUGCAAGCCACCUACUCGCAUUUGCGCGCGUUUUCUUCUUCUUUAUCUUGCUUACUCAAGUCAUUAUUACUCAUUUCAGGGCAAAUAAAUCUGAGUGCACGGAAACGGAGACCAACAUAAUCGAUAGGACUGUCGCGAACCUCGUGUUCAAUCAGUCAUUUGCUGGCUCUUCAGACGCGAAAAAUCCUGUGCUGGCUUCGUAAGUGAAAGGAAAAUCAUUCGGCAGUUUCGGGCUCGUGCACCAAGUCAGAUCUUCCAUGACCAACUCUACUCUAUUGUAUGAGUGAUAAGUUGCACCAUGGAUCUUUUUGAGCAAGUAACAAGAAGCAAUGAGUAGGAACAAGUUAUUACUUUUUGUAACUUAUCUAAACUUUGGAUCAUUUUGAAUUGACUACGUAAACUUUCGAAAGGUUGAUUUUACUAUCCAACCUGUCAAUCUGUUUAAUUUCAGUCAGUCGACGAUGCUUCGACUUCAAAAUUUAAGUUUAUUAAAACAAGCAAUUAUCUCAAACUUUGAAAUCAAAGUAUCGUCGACUGACUUAAAGCAAACAAAUUGAAAAUUCGAAUAGUAAAAUUGAAGUUUUGAAAGGUGGGUAGUUGAGUCAAAAGGUUGUAAAUUUUUACCUUGUAUUGAUCCAUCUAGUUUGAGCAGACAUUUUUGUGCAGAUCUCGUGAUGUUAUUGUAUAUGUCAAAAGGAUGUGUAGUUGUAAAAAUAUGAGAUGCCACCAAAAUUGGAGAUUAUAAUUUUGGAUAAUGUUCUAUGAUGACCUCUCCUAAAUGCUUUGCUUAUACUCUGGACUGGAUGAUCUGUUCUUUUUGUUUUUCUUUAAUUUGUAGGCUAGAUUAUGAAGGGGUAAAUUGCACUAUUGGUUCUCAAACUACGUGGCGCAUGAUAUUUUGUUUCUCGAACUUUUAAUUUAUUACAAUUACAGCUGGCUUGAAUUUCUAAAAUGUGGUUGCGAUUAAGUCCUACAAUAUAAUUUAGUUGACUAAAUGGUAAUAUGCCGGUGAUGUAACUAUAACAUAAUAGUAUACAACACUGUCAUAUUAGCGACACAUUAUUUGUCAAUCAACUAAAUUAUAUUGUAGAAUUUAAUCACAAUAAUUUAAAAAGUUUAAACCAGUUAUAACAAUAAAUUAAAUUUUGAGGACCAAAUUAUUACCUACCUUACAAAUUGAGGACCAAAAGUGCAAUUUAGCCAUUGUAAACUUCAGUGCAAGCAGUUAAAAUAAGGGAAGAUUUUGGGUGAAGGCCCCUGAGUUAAUUAAUUAAUUAAUUUGUUAAGCCCAGUUUGAAUGUCGGAAUAAAUUAUGUGAUAAUAACUGAUUCGAUAUAUAAGAAUUUUCUAUUGAGAUUAAAAACUUGGUUUAGACAUUGUUUUAGUAACAUAAAGAAGAAAAAAAAAGAAUAAAAAAAUUCAAAUAAUUACAUUGAGAAGUAAAUAGAGAAAAUAAUAAUUAAUAAAAGGGCGAGAUUUUGGCAAGAUAAGUGUUGGGUUAGUGAUAUCAAAUUUACUUAUUAGCCUAAUUGGUUUUAUUUUGGAUUUGGUUCAACAACUCAUGUAAUGGGCUAGUUAGUAUUUGGUUUGGGCUUUAGUUGACCCAUUUGGUAUGUUAAGCCAAGUGGAGUUAAGAGAGAACUCUUUGGCUGCGUUUGGUUGGAGACUAGAUUUUGGAGAACAACUUUUGUUGUUCCCGAGAACAGUGGAUAUUCCGGUACAAGAUAGAACAAUUGUAAAUUUGUGUUUGGAUGAAUUCGAGAAUAUUCUAGAGGAUAUCCUUAAUAGCGUUCGGAUAAAAAGUCUAGAACAACGUCUAAAUAUAUUUUUAAAAAUAAAAUAAUUAAUUUAUAUUAGUAUAUUUUAUAUAAAAUUAUUUAUAAAAUUAUUUCAUAUAGUAAUUUAUAAUAUAAUAUUUUAUGUAAGAAUCUAAUUUAAAAUAAUAUAUUUUAUUUUAUUAUAUAUAAUAAUUUAUUUUAUGUAAUAAUUUAUUUUAUAUAAUUUAUUCAUAAUAUAUUAAUGAAUAAAGUAUAAUACUAACAAUAUCCCUAUAUUUUUAAUUAAUAAUUAGUAUAAAUUUCAAUACAAAUGGCGGAAUGACUGUUAUUUAUAGUACUGUAAAAUUGGUCUCAACGGUGAAACAACCAUCUAGAAACGGGCACGACGGCCUAUGACACUAUCGGUAUAUUCAGAAUAUUACGAUCUGUUAAUCUCCCCAUGCUAACAAACUCCAACUACCCACCUAAUUGGUUUUGGCCAAAUUACAAGGGGUUUGGUACAGUAACCUGGCUUUCCGCAACACUAACAAACAGUGACAUCCCUUGCAAAUCUUGAAUUUUUGAUUUGAAGAGCUUAUGCGGCUAAAACCUCUUUAAUUGCGUUUUGAAGAUGGCUCUUUCGGCGAAAGUGUUUACAUCUUGGUCCGUGGCAUGUGAAAGUCAUGGUAACUAUUCGUUAUCAUCAAGAGGACAGUGAUUAAGAGCAAGUUGAAUCUUCAUCCAAUAUGAAAAGCCAACUAGGGAACUCUUACUCCAGAAGCACAUCUAAUAAAUGCCAACUUCGCAACCAACCGCAAAAAGACCACAGACAACAUUAUUUCAAGUGCAAAAAUUCCAAGUACUUAGAUCCUGCUCAAACAAAUAUCUAGGUUUAGACUUUUGAUAAGUAACACAUUUUGACCUAAUUAUUGUACUAUAAUAAGAAUCAUCUGUCAUCUCUUUGAUAAGAAAUGCUAAAACUUGCCGAAGCAAAGGUAGGGGAGAUGAGAGGUCAUAGUAACUUCUGGAAUCAUUGCAGGCCUUCAGAAGAAACAAUUCCAGCAGGAUGCGAUACCUAGGUAUUAAUGGGCUAUACACUUAUAGAUUCCAAAAGCCUCUCGACUUUGUGCCAAAGAUUACCUAAAAGCGUGACAAAUUCAAGCGUUAAUGCAGCGUAUCAGAUCUAUUGUUCUCCAUCUCAUCUCGCCCUCAUCAAAUCAACAUAUGCCGAAUCCAUGAUCGCGCUUCUCGCGUGGUCAACUUUGAUUGUGCGACCCAUGAAUCUUCUACGCUGUUUUGGAAUGUCACGCUCAUGACCGUCUUUCCAAUACACGAGUACUCGGCCUCUCGACUGUUUCCAGUUGAACAGUGGUGAUAUCUCAUAACAUUAUAAGGCAGAGAUACUAUAUAUCGCCGAUACUGUACCCAAUACAAUGAGCUACUAAACGCUAUUCAAUGCUAGGCUGUUGUGUAUUGAGCCACUAUUAUAUAGAUCGAAUAUCAGAGACGUAAAAAAAACUCCAAAAGUGAGCCCCAUGUCAAGUAACAAUAACAAUUAGCAAAACAAAAAUUUUAGUUUAAGUAAACCUAGUUUAAGAAAUCUAUGUUCAUAUUUAUAGAUAAUAAAUGACUCUUCAAGGGAAAAGAUGUAAUCAAAUAUUGCACAACAGUCGUGGAGUCUGUUUCUGCAAUAUGCCUAUAAAUUACAGCUUACCAGCCGGAAUCAUGACAUUCUUGUGCCUCUAACCCAUGCAUCACUCUAUGGCCUAAUUGUUAGAUAGAUAGUAGAUUAUAAGGCAACCUGCAACUGAAGAAAGCAAGCAUCACCCCGAUUGCAAGCUGAAUUGCUCUCAUGUAUCUUAUUCACUAUAUUUGAUUCAUGGCAAUCGAUGUGCUUAUACAUUGCUUCAGUUUAUAUCUCAAAGGGACUUAUAUCACUGUGUAGGAUUUAUUAAAAACAUAUAAAAGUGACUGGUAUCAUAUCCUUUAUUCUGUCUAUACCNNNNNNNNNNNNNNNNNNNNNNNNNNNNNNNNNNNNNNNNNNNNNNNNNNNNNNNNNNNNNNNNNNNNNNNNNNNNNNNNNNNNNNNNNNNNNNNNNNNNNNNNNNNNNNNNNNNNNNNNNNNNNNNNNNNNNNNNNNNNNNNNNNNNNNNNNNNNNNNNNNNNNNNNNNNNNNNNNNNNNNNNNNNNNNNNNNNNNNNNNNNNNNNNNNNNNNNNNNNNNNNNNNNNNNNNNNNNNNNNNNNNNNNNNNNNNNNNNNNNNNNNNNNNNNNNNNNNNNNNNNNNNNNNNNNNNNNNNNNNNNNNNNNNNNNNNNNNNNAUACUUUGAUCAAUAGAGAACAUUGCAUAAAGUAUGACAGCAUCAUAGCUCAGCAUGUAUGAAUCGUCAUUUGAAUUGAACUGGCGGCAACAUUUGGCUAAUACCAUGCUUCCAAGCCACAAAACAUCUGAUUCCACCAUGCAUCAUAGGUAAUGGGAUGAUUUCAUCGGAAUCCAUAUUGGGACUGAAAAACACCAAUAACCGAGUAAAGGCAACAAAUUAAACCCAAAAAGGAACUAAAAAGCUCACCUCCAGGCUCCAAGUAUGCGGAUAAUAGAACGUUUUUAUAUCAUAGUCAAGUAGGGACUAGAGAUCCUCAAGGCCCAACUAUUAUCGAGAAGAUUUUGCAUCUCACAACAGAGACAUAUAUAGAACAUCAAAAAGGCCACUUACUUGUCUUAGGUGGAAGUAGAUAAAGAGUAGUAAUGGAGGGACUUGACAAGUCAAGCAAGCUUCAGAGAUGUAUUAACUUGCAGCCGAAAAAAUUGACUCAAUUAAUAACAAAUCUGCACAGGAAAUCGAGCAGUAUCCAUCCAUUCUUGAGAGGGAGAUGCAGAUGCACAUUAAACAACUCCAAUUAAUGUUGGUUUUGAAGAAGAGAAGAAGAUGAGGCCUCUCGAGGCGAGUCGACAACUCGAAGCAACACAAUCCAAGAAGGAUCUAACUUUCUACUUUGCAUCCGAGGGAAAUCACCUGAAUUUAUUGAAGAUCUGCACAAGGAACUGAAGAUCGGCUACCAAUUGAUGAGGUUGGGAGGUAGAUUGAAAUCGCUACCAAUUGAUGAGGUUGGGAGGCAGAUUGAAAUCAUUCCCACAUAGUUAAUGCUGGUUUUAAGCUCCAGAGGAAGGAUUAGGUUUAAUAUGGAGUUAAUAUGAAAGAGAAAAAACCGGCGGCGUUGAAAAGUGAAGAGAGCUGAGAAGAAGAGGAGUAGGUGAGAGGAUGGAGUUAAGAGGGAUUUGAGGAGGAAGAAGAAGGCUUCAGCAGGGGAAAGAGACGACAAUGGCAUAGAAUGGGUAGGUGAGUUGGUGGAGAGGAGAGUAAAGUUGCUCGGGUUUCGAGAAAAUUUAUUUUUUACUACAUCUACCCCUGCAAUUCUCGAGAUUUAAUCCUUAUUCGAGGGGUGAGGAUGAAUAAAAUUAACGGGUUAUUCCAUGAUAUUCUGGAAUAACCCGUUUUGACCGGGUUAAAAUAUUUAGAUGGAAUUCAAUUUUGUUUGGCAAAAUAAUUAGGAUAAAUCAGUUUAUUCCCCUGUUAUUCUGUUACCAAACGCAGCCUUAUUAUUGCUUCUUAUAUUACUAUUUUUUAAUUAUUUAUUCAUCCUAUCGUGUGAAUUACUGUACUAGAUAAAUAUUAAAUCGUAAACUUUUAAAUCCGAUAUAUGUCACCGUUUGGAUGGGGGAUAAGGGGAGGGACAACCCUUAUCCCCCUUUAUACCCAAAUAUAAUUUUUUUACUCGAGAAUAGUAAUUCUCGGGUAUCUGAAAUAAGCUGGUAUAACUAUUCCUACCAAUAUCUUUAUUUUUUAUAUAUACAUACCCACUAUUUUUUUUAUUUUAUAUUAUUUAUUUAAAUAUUAUUUUUUUUAUUUUUAAAAAUAGCUCAAUUUUUAUCCAAAAAUUAUUUUUUUUAUCUCCAUUCUUAUACCUAUCUCCGAAAAUAUAUAGUGCCAACGCGUCACUCACAUUCUUUGAAUGUGGAUAUAAAAGUGGGAAAACAAAAAAGCGUUAGAAUGGCAAAUUCCCGUAAUUUCAACCAAUCAGCGGGGUCAAAUGUCCCGCACGCAGCUCGAAAAGUAGAGGGCCGCGGUUCCCGUGCCUUUAUUCCCCGGAAGACGAGCAGAGACCCCUCUCUCUUUGUCCCUCUUGUCCUUUCCAUCGCUCCUUUCCUCUUCCUUUCCCACCACCACCACCACCACCGCCACUCCCCCCUCCCCACUCCCACACUACUAACAAAAAAAAAAAAAAAACAAACAAACACCUCUCUCUCUCUCUCUGCUACUAUACCACGCUUGCACUUGUGUACUUUUUAUCUCACUAGAAGAAGGAAGGAGAAAGGUGGGAGAUCGAGAUGGUGGAGGGGAAAGGGUCGACGCUGGUCCACGUCCUCGUCAUCGCCCUCAGCCUCACCGCCUUCGGCUUCGCCAUCGCCGCCGAGCGCCGCCGCAGCACGGUCAGUCUCAUUUCUCUCCCUCGCCCGAAAAAUCGAUCCAUCGAUCCGGUAGAAAACGGACAGUUCACCAAUAAUAAUCCUACAGUUAAGAUCAGGUGAAUCACAUCAAAUCAACCCCCACACUUUUGCGCAUUGCAUCCAUGUGUUUUCGUAUUUUCUCAUUUUAGUAUCCAUAGUUUUAUUUUUCUCUUUUUUCACCCUCCUGUUAACUUUUCGUUAAAUUAUUAUAUAAAAAAAGCUUCAGAUACACCAUUUAUAGUUUAUCGAAUAUUAUUUCCUUUAUUACUCUUUAGUUUUUACUUUGUUACUGAUUUAACAAAAAAAAAUUAAUAAAAAAAAAAAAUCCACAUGGUACGAAAGUGAUAAACUUUAAGUCACGAGGUACUAAUGUGAGAAAAUGCGAAACCAUGUGAGAAAAUGCGAAACCGAGUGGUAUUUAGGCUGCGUUUGGUUGGAGAACUAGAUUUUGGAGAACAAUUUUUGUUGUUCCCGAGAACAGGGGAUAUUCCGGUACAAGAUAGAAUAAUUGUAAAUUUGUGUUUGGAUGAAUUCGAGAAUAUUCUAGAGGAUAUCCUUAAUAGCGUUCGGAUAAAAAGUCUAGAACAACAUCUAAAUAUAUUUUUAAAAAUAAAAUAAUUAAUUUAUAUUAGUAUAUUUUAUAUAAAAUUAUUUCAUAUAGUAAUUUAUAAUAUAAUAUUUCAUGUAACAAUUUAAUUUAAAAUAUUAUAUUUACUUUAUUAUAUAUAAUAAUUUAUUUUAUGUAAUAAUUUAUUUUAUAUAAUAUAUUCAUAAUAUAUGUAAUGAAUAAAGUAUAACUUACAAUAUCCUUAUAAUUUAAUUAAUAAUAGUAUAAAUUUCAAUACAAAUUAAAAAAUAUAUAUGAUACAUGAAAAAAUACUUUUUUAUGUAUAGUACUUAAUAUAAAAUAAAAUAAUUAAAUAUUAAAAUAUAAAUAACAAAAUUUAAUAAAAUAAAUAAUAUAUCAAAUUUAAUUAAUUUUAUAUUAUAUAAUAAAAUUUAUGUGUAAAUAUAUUAUCAUUAAAAUAAUAUUUAUAUUAAUAUAUUUAUUUAUAUAUCUAUUUAUCUAAUAAAAUAAAUAGAAGAACUAAGUUGUUCUCAAUUCCCUAGGAACAAUUUUUAACGGGUUGUUCCAGAACAACGCAGAACAACCCGUUUUGACUGGAACAACCCGUUCUCCGCUGUUCCUCUACCGUUUGGUUAUAAUUUCGGGAAUAUCCCGUGCUGUCCCGAAAUAUUUCCGGUACCAAACGCAGCCAAAGGGUUAGAGGGAGUGAGUUCUCUUUUUGCUCUCUAGGUUUUCCCUUUUCUUGUAAUAGAGAAGAGAGGUGUAGAGAAAGUUGGAGAAGGAGCUCUCUUGUUCUUCUUGCUUGAUUCAAAAGCUUCCAAGGUAGAUUGGAAGAAUUCUAAGAGGUAUUCCGAAGCGGGACCCGCGGAAUCGGAAGGUGCUUCAAAGAAGGUGUAGCAAGAAGGGAUUUCUAUUGAAAGAUUGUAAGCCCAUUAAAAUAGAAUGGUAAUCUCUAACCAAAUCUUGUAAUCUCCUCAUUUGAUAGUGGAUUUGAUCUCUCCGUGCCCGUGGAUGUAGCCUGGUUUGGGUGACCACGUAAAUCUUGUGUUGUUGUUGUGGUUGUGCUUGGAUUUUUCUUUUUCAACUUCAUUUACUCCAAUCUUGCAUAUCUUAGUUGUGGAUAAUUUAGAUACAUCACAUUUGUUUACUAGUGUGAUUAGUAUCUUGAUAGUGAAGGUUCCGUCAUUAGCUCACUAC